This 305-nucleotide ribosomal RNA is filed under the name uncultured bacterium. Its description in RNAcentral is "bacterial SSU rRNA". It matches the Rfam family "Bacterial small subunit ribosomal RNA", at positions 334 to 657 of the family's 1533-position model. The record is from RNAcentral.
UUUCCCUACGGGGCGCAGCAGUGGGGAAUAUUGCGCAAUGGGGGAAACCCUGACGCAGCAACGCCGCGUGCGGGAUGAAGGCUUUCGGGUUGUAAACCGCUUUCAGCAGGGAAGAUAGUGACGGUACCUGCAGAAGAAGCCCCGGCUAAAUACGUGCCAGCAGCCGCGGUAAUACGUAGGGGGCAAGCGUUAUCCGGAUUCAUUGGGCGUAAAGCGCGCGCAGGCGGGUUGCUAAGCGGGACCUCUAAUCUCAGGGCUCAACCUUGAGCCGGGUCCCGAACUGGCAGCCUCGGGUUCGGUAGGGG